This 693-nucleotide ribosomal RNA is filed under the name Klebsiella pneumoniae. Its description in RNAcentral is "bacterial SSU rRNA". It matches the Rfam family "Bacterial small subunit ribosomal RNA", at positions 1 to 685 of the family's 1533-position model. The record is from RNAcentral. Lineage: Bacteria; Pseudomonadati; Pseudomonadota; Gammaproteobacteria; Enterobacterales; Enterobacteriaceae.
AAAUUGAAGAGUUUGAUCAUGGCUCAGAUUGAACGCUGGCGGCAGGCCUAACACAUGCAAGUCGAGCGGUAGCACAGAGAGCUUGCUCUCGGGUGACGAGCGGCGGACGGGUGAGUAAUGUCUGGGAAACUGCCUGAUGGAGGGGGAUAACUACUGGAAACGGUAGCUAAUACCGCAUAACGUCGCAAGACCAAAGUGGGGGACCUUCGGGCCUCAUGCCAUCAGAUGUGCCCAGAUGGGAUUAGCUAGUAGGUGGGGUAACGGCUCACCUAGGCGACGAUCCCUAGCUGGUCUGAGAGGAUGACCAGCCACACUGGAACUGAGACACGGUCCAGACUCCUACGGGAGGCAGCAGUGGGGAAUAUUGCACAAUGGGCGCAAGCCUGAUGCAGCCAUGCCGCGUGUGUGAAGAAGGCCUUCGGGUUGUAAAGCACUUUCAGCGGGGAGGAAGGCGAUAAGGUUAAUAACCUUGUCGAUUGACGUUACCCGCAGAAGAAGCACCGGCUAACUCCGUGCCAGCAGCCGCGGUAAUACGGAGGGUGCAAGCGUUAAUCGGAAUUACUGGGCGUAAAGCGCACGCAGGCGGUCUGUCAAGUCGGAUGUGAAAUCCCCGGGCUCAACCUGGGAACUGCAUUCGAAACUGGCAGGCUAGAGUCUUGUAGAGGGGGGUAGAAUUCCAGGUGUAGCGGUGAA